This 71-nucleotide transfer RNA is filed under the name Loxodonta africana (African savanna elephant). It matches the Rfam family "tRNA". Rfam says of the family: Transfer RNA (tRNA) molecules are approximately 80 nucleotides in length. Their secondary structure includes four short double-helical elements and three loops (D, anti-codon, and T loops). Lineage: Eukaryota; Metazoa; Chordata; Mammalia; Proboscidea; Elephantidae. The record is from Rfam by way of RNAcentral.
GCAGCGGUGGUUCAGUGGUAGAAUUCUCACCUUCUACGUGGGAGACCCAGCUUCGAUUCCCGGCCAAUGUA